AUACGGAGGAUGCGAGCGUUAUCCGGAUUUAUUGGGUUUAAAGGGAGCGUAGGCGGGAGCUUAAGUCAGCGGUUAAAUGGUGCGGCUCAACCGUGCCCUGCCGUUGACACUGGGUUUCUUGAGAGUGCAAGAGGCGGAUGGAAUUCAUGGUGUAGCGGUGAAAUGCUUAGAUAUCAUGAAGAACUCCGAUUGCGAAGGCAGUCCGCUGGGGCACGUCUGACGCUGAUGCUCGAAGGUGCGGGAAUCAAACAGGAUUAGAUACCCUGGUAGUCCGCACGGUAAACGAUGAUUACCCGCUGUCGGCGGUAGACAGUCGGCGGCCAAGCGAAAGCGAUAAGUAAUCCACCUGGGGAGUACGCCGGCAACGGUGAAACUCAAAUGAAUUGGCGGGG
This 392-nucleotide ribosomal RNA is filed under the name uncultured bacterium. RNAcentral's name for it is "partial 16S ribosomal RNA". It matches the Rfam family "Bacterial small subunit ribosomal RNA", at positions 523 to 918 of the family's 1533-position model. The record is from RNAcentral.